This 305-nucleotide ribosomal RNA is filed under the name uncultured bacterium. RNAcentral's name for it is "bacterial SSU rRNA". It matches the Rfam family "Bacterial small subunit ribosomal RNA", at positions 337 to 634 of the family's 1533-position model. The record is from RNAcentral.
GCCUACGGGGGGCAGCAGUAGGGAAUCUUCCACAAUGGGCGAAAGCCUGAUGGAGCAACGCCGCGUGGGUGAAGAAGGUCUUCGGAUCGUAAAACCCUGUUGUUAGAGAAGAAAGUGCGUGAGAGUAACUGUUCACGUUUCGACGGUAUCUAACCAGAAAGCCACGGCUAACUACGUGCCAGCAGCCGCGGUAAUACGUAGGUGGCAAGCGUUAUCCGGGUUUAUUGGGCGUAAAGGGAACGCAGGCGGUCUUUUAAGUCUGAUGUGAAAGACUUCGGCUUAACCGGAGUAGUGCAUUGGAAACU